GAGUAUAUGUUUAUAGUGGGAUAGAGAUAAGAUUGUAGUUAGUAGCCAUAGCUGAAAGGUCAAUAUGUGUUUGGUGAGUUUUAAUUUUUAAUUUUUUUAAUGUUCUAAAAUAGUUUCUCCUGCCCAAUAAAGAGAGAAGGCUUGCUUAUUAUGUGACUCUCUUACUAGAGUGCAUUAUUUGACUCUAAAAUAAUUUCUCCAGCCCUUCUCCCCUAAAGUCACAUUCACAUUUCUCAUACGAACAAACAGAUCAGAAAAACAAAAACAAAAAAAAAUUGAGUGAGGGAGAGAGAUGGCUUGUGUUGCUUUAGCUUCUCUAAUCUCAACAAUUCAGCUUGAGUUUCUACAACCCUUCCCAAGGGUGCCUCUUCUUCAUCAGCCAUCAAUCCAAUCUUUCUUUGAAAGCAUUUGUUCUUUGCAAGCCUUUCUACAGGAAUCCAGUGGUGGUGGUGCUGCAAUCAAAGAUUUGGAAAUCGAAAUCAGAGACUUUGCACUCAAAGCUGAAGACGACAUCGAAAUACAACUAAGCAACUUUGUUUUUGCCAAAGGCAGAGAGGAUCAGGAAAAAGCUUCCCAACAACUCCAUCUAGCCUUGCAAGAAGCAGCAGAAAACGCAUCAGAGUUGCUGAAUAUUAUCGACAACAUAAGCAAUAAUGUUGCUGGUGAUGAUGAUAAUGAAGCUCAACCACCACUCCACUGGCUAAAACCUGCUUCUGAGUCUCAGAAUGGUAAAUCAAAUGGAUCCUCACGAAAGCUUUUGGGCAGUCAUUCUAGAAAUAGUUGUGGAAAGAUAAUCUUCGAGCUCUGGUUUUGUGGUAUUCUAAAAAUAAUCUCAAUUGUUGGGAUGGUGGGCGUUGGAAAAACUACUUUAGCUAAAAGUGUCUACCUAGAUCCAGAAGUUGGAAAGCGUUUUGAUGUACGAGGUUGGAUUACUAUGCCUCAACAAUAUAACAAGAACCAAUUGCUGGAUUUGCUGCGCCUCCUUCAGUCAUUUUCACCGGCAGCGGAGAAGAAAAUUGAAAUGGGAAGUUGUGCUCCUGAAGAAGUACAAGUGCAGGUAAGGAGUCACUUGCUUGGCAAAAGGUAUCUAAUUGUACUAGAUAAUUUACAGUUAGAUAAUUGGGGUGAUAUCCGAGGAUGUUUUCCUGAAGACAACAAUGGAAGUUGCAUAUUGGUAACCACUACGCACUUUGAUCGGUAUGUCAUCAGUGGCUUGAAAAUCUAUAUUCACAGCAUGACUUUGCUAGAUCCAAAUGAAAGUUGGGAUCUGUUUUGCCGUACCCUUUCUAAGGGGAGUAUGUCAAGAUCACCUGAAUUAGAAAAAAUUAGGGGCAAUAUUAUAGAGAUAUGUGAUGGACUACCAUUGACAAUUGUUGUAGUUGCAAAGCGUCUAUCUAAAUGCAACGACGUGUUAAAGAAAUGGGAGAAGAUUAAAAAGGAAAUAGAGUCAUUGGGGAUUCUUGAUCGCAAUACUCUCAUUUUCCAUUACAAUAAAUUGUCGCAAAUUUUGAAAGUUUGCUUUCUAUAUCUUGGAGUCUUCCCAAAACGCAAAGAAAUCCAAGUCAAAAACCUAAUUGGGUUAUGGAUUGCCGAGGGAUAUUUUGAGCCAUUAGAGUUUGAAAAGCAAGAAAGUCAAGGUUAUGCAUAUUUACAAGAGCUUAUUGAAAGAAGACUUGUUUUAAUAUGCAAUCAGAAAUCUAAUGGCAAAAUUAAGACUUGUAGGAUGCAUAGUGCCAUGCAUAGCUUCUGUGUUGGAGAAGCUCAGAAAGAGGGUAUUUUUUGUGCUGUAAAUACUCUACAACAUUCAGGAUUGCCACUAAGUGAUUUUGCGAAUUCAAGUCGUUGGUUAAGUUUAUGCAAACAUAGUUUUGACUAUUAUGUUUUGUUUAGUUCGAACAAGCCUCGCUCCAUUUUCUUCUUUGAUGAAGAUCCUAAAACUUUUGUACCCUUCAAGUUGUUAAGAGUUUUGGCCUUUGUUCCUUCUCCAUUCCUUCAAAGAGUGUCAAUGCAUUUGGGUGAUUUAAUUUUUUUGAGAUACCUAUUUAUAAGUAAGAGGUUUGAGGGUUUGGGUAAUAUACUGUCAAAAAACCCAAAUUUGCAGACACUUAUUGUUUCCAGUGAUGAACCACAAAUUGGAGCACCUACAAUUCAUUUGCCAUCCACAAUUUGGAAGUUACCACGGUUGAGACAUCUUGAACUUGGAGAUAUGUAUACGAUGGAUCCUCCCUGCACGGUUAAAGCGAAAUUGCAAACACUAUCUUGGGUGAGUCCAACUCAUUGUAGAAACUUAACACUAUCCUUGGUGAGUCCAACUCAUUGUGGAAUGGAAGUGUUUCCAAACUUAAGAAAACUGAAAAUUUUCUAUAAAGAUGACUUAGAGUUCAAUCGCACUCAUGGAUCUUCAAGCAAUCCCAUCAUUUUGGAAAAUUUUGGAUAUUUAAAACAGCUUCAGAGGCUAAAGAUUUCUGUUUCGGUUAGCUGCGCUGUGGUAUAUACUGAACGAUUUAUGUGUCCUUUACAACUGCAGAAGUUGAGUUUGAGUGGGAUGAAUCUUUCUAAGAGAGAUUUAACAGUAAUUGGCAUGUUGCCGGAGCUUAAGGUGCUCAAGCUUGAAAAUGCCUUCCUAGAAAGAGUAUGGGAAGUGGUUGAAGGAGGAUUCCGUGAAUUAAGAUUCUUGCUUGUGAAAGAUAAAAACCUCCUGCAGUUUUUGGCUGAUGAAAAAUCCUUCAAACAUCUUGAGCGUCUAGUUCUAAGAUGUUGUUGCUAUUUGGAAGAAAUCCCAUCUAGUUUUGUAGAUAUUUCUACCCUAAAGUCAAUAGAAUUGGAUAGGUGUAGCCCUAUUGCUGUUACUUUCGCCACCAAGCGGAUGGCGCAUGGUAGAAUUAAGCUCAUAAUCCAUAAGACUGAAGAUGAGCCACCACCAUAUCCUCUCAGUGAAUUAACCAUUGGUUUGGGUGAUGAAUCACAAAUUGGAGCUCCUACCACUGAUUUUCCAUGCAGAAUUUCAGAAUUACCACAAUUGAGGCAUCUUGAACUUACUGAUGUGUAUAUUGCAGAUCCUCCAAGCAUGGUUGAAGGGAAAUUGAAAACAUUAUCUUUGGUGGUUCCAUGCCAUUGUCGUAAGAAAGUGUAUUACAGUUUCCCAAACAUUAAAAAAUUGAAACUUUUUUAUAAACAAGACUCGGAGCCUACUCACAUUGAUGGAUCUUCUAGCAAUCUCAUCAUUUUAGAUGAACUAGACUUUUUGGAACAGCUUGAGAGCCUAACAAUUUCAGUUCCUGUUGGCCGCAUUGUAACUUAUCCUGAAUUUGUUGGCCGCAUUGUAACUUAUCCUGAAUUUUUUAUGUUUCCUUCACAACUGAAGAAGUUGAGGUUGAGCGGGACUAAUCUUUCUCGGAUAGGUUUAGGAGAAAUUGGCACAAUGUGUAGGCUUGAGGUGCUCAAGCUUGAAAAUGUCUUGUUGGGAAGUCUGUGGGAAGUGGGUGGUGGAGAAUUCUAUAACUUAAGAUUCUUGCUCGUUCAAGAUAAAGAACUCAAGCAGUUGAAGGUUUAUGAUGAAGAAUAUGUUUUACCAUGUCUUGAGCGUCUAGUCUUAAGAUAUUGUUAUGGUUUAGAAGAGAUAUCAUUUGAAUGUGAACUUCACAGCAACCUGAAAUCAAUUGAGUUGUUUUGGUGUAACCCUUCUGCCAUUGCUUGUGCCAAGCAAAUCUUUGGAAAGAGACCUGAUAGAGGAGACAACGGAAUUGAGCUCAAAAUCAAUGGUGAUAUAUAUGAUGAACGUCCAAAUUAAAGCCAGGAGUCCAUAAAAGAGGCUUGACCAGUGAUAUGAUGAUCGAACCACAAAUUGGAGCUCCUACAUACACUUCAUUUGCCAUCCAAAAUUUGGGAGUUAACACACUUGAGGCAUCCCAGAGUGGUUAAAAUGAAUUCGCAAACAUUAUCUUGUUUGAAAGCUUUAGGAGUCAUUUGUUCAAUGUUGUAGAGAAAUGUGAAGGACUACCACAGUGAAAUCAAAGUCAAAACGCUUCUUAGGUUAUGGGUUGCAGAAGGAUUUGUGAUGCCAUCAAGGAAUAAAGAGUUAGAAAAGAUGGCUUAUUGUUACUUAAAGGAUCGGAUCUCAUUGAUAGAAGUCUUGUGUUAAUAAGGAGUCGAACUUUUAAUUUGAUGGAAAAGUUAAGACUUGUAGGGUGCACAAUGUCAUGCAUAAUAUUUGUUUCAGAGAGGCUCAGAAAGAGGGAAUAUUAUGUAUGUGUAGUAAAUACUCAGCAACGCCCAAAGUGGUCAUUAAACGCAUUUGCAAAUUUCUGUCGUUGGUUUAGCUUAUGCAAACAUAGUUUUGACUAUUAUGUAUUGUUGUUUAGUUUAAACAGCCCUCGUUCCGUUUUCUUCUUUCAA
RNA transcript from Ipomoea nil (Japanese morning glory), 4395 nucleotides. It is a transcript of the gene named putative late blight resistance protein homolog R1C-3, with no coding region annotated. The record is from RefSeq and is a predicted model, not a curated record. Lineage: Eukaryota; Viridiplantae; Streptophyta; Magnoliopsida; Solanales; Convolvulaceae. The transcript is spliced from 5 exons.